RNAcentral lists this long non-coding RNA (193 nucleotides) under Ictidomys tridecemlineatus (thirteen-lined ground squirrel). RNAcentral describes it as "lncRNA (ENSSTOG00000030334.1)". Lineage: Eukaryota; Metazoa; Chordata; Mammalia; Rodentia; Sciuridae. The record is from RNAcentral.
GCCUCCUGAGCCACUGGGAUUACAGGCAUUCACCACCAUGCCCAGCUACUUGCUACCCCUUUUAAAACUCUCUCCAUAAGAAGACUUUUUUCCUUAUUUCCUUAAAUAAUGCCAUAAUUGCCGCCACCAUUUGCUGUCCUGAAGAACAGGUGGGUAAUGACAGUUGGACAUUGAGGAUGGGGGACGAUCACCA